GAUGAACGCUGGCGGCGUGCCUAAUACAUGCAAGUCGAGCGAACGGACGAGAAGCUUGCUUCUCUGAUGUUAGCGGCGGACGGGUGAGUAACACGUGGAUAACCUACCUAUAAGACUGGGAUAACUUCGGGAAACCGGAGCUAAUACCGGAUAAUAUUUUGAACCGCAUGGUUCAAAAGUGAAAGACGGUCUUGCUGUCACUUAUAGAUGGAUCCGCGCUGCAUUAGCUAGUUGGUAAGGUAACGGCUUACCAAGGCAACGAUGCAUAGCCGACCUGAGAGGGUGAUCGGCCACACUGGAACUGAGACACGGUCCAGACUCCUACGGGAGGCAGCAGUAGGGAAUCUUCCGCAAUGGGCGAAAGCCUGACGGAGCAACGCCGCGUGAGUGAUGAAGGUCUUCGGAUCGUAAAACUCUGUUAUUAGGGAAGAACAUAUGUGUAAGUAACUGUGCACAUCUUGACGGUACCUAAUCAGGAAGCCACGGCUAACUACGUGCCAGCAGCCGCGGUAAUACGUAGGUGGCAAGCGUUAUCCGGAAUUAUUGGGCGUAAAGCGCGCGUAGGCGGUUUUUUAAGUCUGAUGUGAAAGCCCACGGCUCAACCGUGGAGGGUCAUUGGAAACUGGAAAACUUGAGUGCAGAAGAGGAAAGUGGAAUUCCAUGUGUAGCGGUGAAAUGCGCAGAGAUAUGGAGGAACACCAGUGGCGAAGGCGACUUUCUGGUCUGUAACUGACGCUGAUGUGCGAAAGCGUGGGGAUCAAACAGGAUUAGAUACCCUGGUAGUCCACGCCGUAAACGAUGAGUGCUAAGUGUUAGGGGGUUUCCGCCCCUUAGUGCUGCAGCUAACGCAUUAAGCACUCCGCCUGGGGAGUACGACCGCAAGGUUGAAACUCAAAGGAAUUGACGGGGACCCGCACAAGCGGUGGAGCAUGUGGUUUAAUUCGAAGCAACGCGAAGAACCUUACCAAAUCUUGACAUCCUUUGACAACUCUAGAGAUAGAGCUUUCCCCUUCGGGGGACAAAGUGACAGGUGGUGCAUGGUUGUCGCCAGCUCGUGUCGUGAGAUGUUGGGUUAAGUCCCGCAACGAGCGCAACCCUUAAGCUUAGUUGCCAUCAUUAAGUUGGGCACUCUAAGUUGACUGCCGGUGACAGACCGGAGGAAGGUGGGGAUGACGUCAAAUCAUCAUGCCCCUUAUGAUUUGGGCUACACACGUGCUACAAUGGACAAUACAAAGGGCAGCGAAACCGUGAGGUCAAGCAAAUCCCAUAAAGUUGUUCUCAGUUCGGAUUGUAGUCUGCAACUCGACUACAUGAAGCUGGAAUCGCUAGUAAUCGUAGAUCAGCAUGCUACGGUGAAUACGUUCCCGGGUCU
This 1372-nucleotide ribosomal RNA is filed under the name uncultured bacterium. RNAcentral's name for it is "bacterial SSU rRNA". It matches the Rfam family "Bacterial small subunit ribosomal RNA", at positions 28 to 1381 of the family's 1533-position model. The record is from RNAcentral.